Molecule: ribosomal RNA, 333 nt
Filed under: uncultured bacterium
Lineage: Bacteria
Description: partial 16S ribosomal RNA
Rfam family: Bacterial small subunit ribosomal RNA
Source: RNAcentral
CCUACGGGCGGCAGCAGUGAGGAAUAUUGGUCAAUGGCCGGAAGGCUGAACCAGCCAAGCCGCGUGAAGGACGAAGGUGCCAAGCAGUGUAAACUUCUUUUGUCAAGGGACAAAAUCAGGCUCGAGAGCCUGACCGAGGGUACUUGAAGAAAAAGCAUCGGCUAACUCCGUGCCAGCAGCCGCGGUAAUACGGAGGAUGCGAGCGUUAUCCGGAUUUAUUGGGUUUAAAGGGUGCGUAGGCGGGCUGUUAAGUCAGCGGUAAAAGCCCGGGGCUCAACCCCGGCGAGCCGUUGAAACUGGCUGUCUUGUGCUGUCGUGAGUUCUGCGGCAUGC